CAGCAGCCGCGGUAAUACGUAGGGUGCAAGCGUUAAUCGGAAUUACUGGGCGUAAAGCGUGCGCAGGCGGUUUGUUAAGACAGAUGUGAAAUCCCCGGGCUCAACCUGGGAACUGCAUUUGUGACUGGCAAGCUAGAGUAUGGCAGAGGGGGGUAGAAUUCCACGUGUAGCAGUGAAAUGCGUAGAGAUGUGGAGGAAUACCGAUGGCGAAGGCAGCCCCCUGGGCCAAUACUGACGCUCAUGCACGAAAGCGUGGGGAGCAAACAGGAUUAGAUACCCGUGUAGUCCCUGUCUCUUAUAC
This 301-nucleotide ribosomal RNA is filed under the name uncultured bacterium. RNAcentral describes it as "partial 16S ribosomal RNA". It matches the Rfam family "Bacterial small subunit ribosomal RNA", at positions 509 to 807 of the family's 1533-position model. The record is from RNAcentral.